Molecule: ribosomal RNA, 269 nt
Filed under: uncultured Gemmatimonas sp.
Lineage: Bacteria; Pseudomonadati; Gemmatimonadota; Gemmatimonadia; Gemmatimonadales; Gemmatimonadaceae
Description: partial 16S ribosomal RNA
Rfam family: Bacterial small subunit ribosomal RNA
Source: RNAcentral
UACGGAGGGUGCGAGCGUUGUCCGGAAUCACUGGGCGUAAAGGGCGCGUAGGUGGCCGAGCAAGGUCGCGGUGAAAGCCCGGGGCUCAACUCCGGGUCGGCCGUGGCAACUACUCGGCUUGAGCACUGUAGGGGCGGGUGGAAUUCCGGGUGUAGCGGUGGAAUGCGUAGAGAUCCGGAAGAACACCGGUGGCGAAGGCGGCCCGCUGGGCAGGAAGGCUCGCAAGAGCCGGCUGACACUGAGGCGCGACAGCGUGGGGAGCAAACAGG